GCUGUUUCUUCAAUGUCUAUGCUUUAUCCUUUUAGACACUAUUUAGAGGUCUGGUAUGUUAUGUAUACAGUCCUAUUGGCCUAAUGCUCUCUAACAGUCGCUAUAUGUAGUGUAGAGGCCUUUUAUAUUAUUAUAUACAAUCUCGAGGCUUGAUGGCCAUAUUUUUAUGCCCUCACUUCCGACGUAUCACCUAGUCGAAGAAUCAUUUUAUAUUGAAUUUUACAAUUCCCUCAUCUGUGACCAAUUACAUAUGCUUCUUUGAGUACUAAGUCAAUUGUUUUGAACAUUAAUAUCUUUUGAUAGAGCGGAUUAGUGGAACUCUUAAGCUCAGACUGAUUAGAACUUGUUCAUCUUUGCUUGAUUCUUUUGGCCGUGUCUUUUUCUGUUUAGGAAACAUAAAAGCCAUGGCUGAAUGACUGAUAAUGUAUGCAGUAUGCUACGCUUGAAGUUGUAAAUUGGUGAUUUCUGCAGAAUGUAGAGUUAUAUAUCCAGCAAGUUUCUGAGAAUCGAAUUUACCUUGGACAUCAGAUUUGUUUUCUUUCAUCAGGGUGUAUAAGUGCUAUGGUUUGGUGGUGAACCAUAAACACUCUUUUCUCUGGGCUCAUUUUGUCAAUGAGGCUAGCCUAUAAUGCCUCCCCUACCCCGUCUUUUUUCGGUCUUUGAAGACUUUGAUCUGUUGCAUUCAGUUCCUUUGGGGGCCAUCAGAAUGUGUGAAUAUGGAGGGUAUAGGUUACUGCUCCUGUGUUUUGCCUGUGUUGUAUUGUCAUAGACAUUCUGCACUUGCUGGGAAUACUGAGUGAUGCGAUUAUUUUGUGAACAAUUUCUCCUGGCGAAGGCAUUAUUAUGUUAUAACAAACAGUUUUCUGAAGUGUUUUUAUUGUUUAUACACUUGCAUUUUCUGUAUCCUGGUUUAUUUCCAUGGAGGUUGAGAUUUAGGAUUUAUCGUUUAUGGUUUAUGCUCGUUUUGCUUUUUUAAUUUUCAUCUUUCUCCUCUUCUUGAGUUGUGUCCAAACCAAUUGGGACAGUGUUUGAAAGGGUCAAAUCUUUGAUGAUUCCAGUCAUAUGUAAGAAUUCAUUCCGUUUAGAUGCAAGUAAGCCCAAUUGGGCCCAUUUGAAGCCCAACUGACCCUUGUUUAUGUCCUAUGCUACACCGGUUGGACGCCGACGGAAGUCACAACUAGGGCCACACGUUCCGAGUCACCGUCUGGUUUACAAGCACCGUCACUGCACGGCAUCUCCGUUGAACACAUAUCCUCCACCGCUUCAUAUCGCAGUCUAUUAGCGGAGCAAAGGAGGGGAAGGACCGGAACCCUUCAGAUCCAGGAAUGCGGUCAGAUGCUGUCGACGUCUCAGUGCUCCCAGACUCCACAUUGCAAAUGGUGCCGCAGCGAUGAUCUUGAUGACAUGUGCUUUAGCAAGGCCGAGUCUUGGCGACUCCCACAACAGGUCUUCACUUGUGAUUCAUAAAUCUACCAUCUUUUUUAUUUUCUUUC
Tripterygium wilfordii is the source of this 1493-nucleotide long non-coding RNA. RefSeq lists it as uncharacterized. NCBI's taxonomy places the organism in Eukaryota, Viridiplantae, Streptophyta, Magnoliopsida, Celastrales, Celastraceae. The record is from RefSeq and is a predicted model, not a curated record. The transcript has 2 exons.